Molecule: long non-coding RNA, 1026 nt
Organism: Cyprinus carpio (common carp)
Lineage: Eukaryota; Metazoa; Chordata; Actinopteri; Cypriniformes; Cyprinidae
Source: Ensembl
CAAAAGAGUGACGGUCAUUAAGAGGGUCUGCGGUGCUGGGAUGUUCACGCGCAUCCUUGCUGGACACAUUUGCGCAAACUGUCAGUGACAAUCCUACUAUUAUAAUGUUUUAUUUAAAAUGAGAAAAAAUUUUUUUUAUCAAAAAUAUUAACCCGUCUUUUGGUCAUUGCCUUAAAAAAAUCGAUUGUCACUGGAGUGAAAAUAACGAAACAACUGUUUAGUUACUCAAGCGCGUCAUUUCCCCUCAUAUAUGCGCAAAGUUAUUGACAGCUAUAAUUUCUUUGCCCCAGUUAUUGCAUUUGCAUGUUUCGUUUACCACUCGAAACAGACUGAAAUAACGUAUACCGUAAAACUGUAGGCUGAGAGAAGCUGCUGCUGUGUGUAAUUUUUAGUCUAACCGCGUGGGAACCUGUGAGUUGCUAGCUCGUGGUUGCUAGCUAGCGAAGGUUUAAGUGGAAACACAUUAUCCGACACGAAGUGAUGCUAGAAAAUGCCACCAAAAGGAAAGGGUGGCAAAGGUGUUAAAGGGGCAGCUGCUUCAGGCAGUGGAGACAGUGAUAAGAAGGAGAAGGCUCAGAAAGGUGGUACAGCUGUAAAGGUAAACAUCUGUAUACUGUAUUUUGUAUCUGCAUAAGAAAUGUUACUUAAAAUACUGUAAAUUUUAACUGAGAUAUAUAUUAGUGCUGUCAAUCGUUUUUAAAAAAAAUAACUAAUCAAUUGCACAUUUUUCUGAAAUUAAUUGGGAUAAAUUCCACCUAUCAUUAAAGUUUUUAAAUAUACUUUUAUAUUGCAAUAAUUUCACAUUCAAUCUUCAAAUUAAUGUAGAAACAUCAAAGUAUAUUUUUAAUAUUUGUUAAAUAGCAUCUUUUUAUGACUGAAGGCAAGUAUCACUGAUACCAACUGAUGAUUCUAUCAGUUUAACAUUUCUUAUACUUUAAAAAAUUAACUUCUAAUUUAAGUGAACUAAAAACAAUCUUCACAUAAACCCAUUUAAAUAAAUGUCGGCAAUAAAUGUGCCCUUCUGCA